CUGCAGAAUGCGCUUAGCACAGUGAGUGGAGUUUGGGCAUGCGUAGAACGCACCUGCAUCGCCAGUGAAAGUAGACGCCUAGUCGGUGACUAACUUUGGGCGAGGUCAGCUUUUAUCCGUGCCAUUUGUUGUUACUUUCCGAUGUUAUAAGUGAUAUCAACAACCUUACAACAUGCCGUUGAUGUAUAGCUGUGGGUGCUGCAGCCUUAAGGCCGGCAACAUGGUGUGUUGUAUAUUAAUACUGAUUGAAAUGGUGAUUAAUUUGGUGAUCUACGUCUACGGAGUGCUACAACUUCUCAUGGAGAAGCCAAAUCUCGAUGAAGAACUGUACAUCGGAAUGGAAGUCGCAUACUACGUGUUGAUUGGUCUAUUUGUUAUCGUCAUGGUUAUGACUAGUAUAUAUUUCUGUGGGGCAGUCAAGGGGCAUCCUGGUUUGUUGGUUGGUUGGAUCGUAACUCUAGUAAUAUACAUGGUAUUAGAAUUAGCCGCCACAGUGUAUCUAACUUAUAUCUAUCACAACUUUCUUGGUGGGUUGGAGAAUAAUAUUUUCGCCCUCUCGUUAUUAAUAUGGUAUAUACUUCGGACAUUACUUCAUAAUAAUGGUUGCAUCUAAUAUUAAAAUAAAGAUGGCGGAGUAUAGCGUUGAUUCAUCUCGUUCUACUCUGGAUUACUUGGAGUCAAUAAAGAUCCUAGAAAAUGCUCUAUCUUAUGAGUGCAGUUUCACAAUACCAAGAAAUUACAGAAAAACAGAAGAAAAUACAUCGGCACAGGAUGCUGCAAGAUUCCGAAGAACACGGAGUUUGAAGGCGUGUCACCUGAGUCCUCAGUGAACACCAGGAAUUAUUGUAUUUGGUUGAACAUUUAAAUACACGUUAUAUUACAUUAUAUCUUUGUCGCAGGAAGUGUCAUCGUUUUGUGAUUUUUAAACUAACCAAAUCGCGUCUUAUUCUAAAUGCCAUUAUAGUUGUCUAUAUGCAGCGUGUUUGAAUACUACAUAUUUUACGCAGCACAGUUUCCAAUGAGUCAGCAAAUUUUUCAACUGCAAGUCCAUACGAUUCAUAAUUUGCUAUGUGCGUCCAUGUUGAAACAUUACAUAUAAUUUUUUGUCAAUUAUAUUGUAAAUUCAAUUUCUAUAAAGUUUGAUAGGAAUAGUAGUUACUCCAUGAGAUAAUGUCUAGUUUGUUGACUAUAGUGUAUCUCAAUUCCCCACCAUAAGUAGUAUUUCAACUACUAAAAAACACGUCAAGUUUAUUUAUGCCUAAUGUUCAUUUUAAUUUCGUGGGGCAAAUCUCGUGUCAUAUAUACUCACGUUUUAUAUCGUUUUAAUAACAAAAUAUGUAAACUUUUAACAAGAAGAUUAUAGAAAUAUCACAUUAAUAUAUUUGCCAUUUACGUGUGAUAUUUUUGUACCGAAAUAAAAUUUAUUAAAAUACAA
This is an unclassified non-coding RNA of Saccoglossus kowalevskii, 1435 nucleotides long. The record is from RefSeq and is a predicted model, not a curated record. NCBI's taxonomy places the organism in Eukaryota, Metazoa, Hemichordata, Enteropneusta, Harrimaniidae.